This 995-nucleotide ribosomal RNA is filed under the name uncultured bacterium. RNAcentral describes it as "bacterial SSU rRNA". It matches the Rfam family "Bacterial small subunit ribosomal RNA", at positions 373 to 1361 of the family's 1533-position model. The record is from RNAcentral.
GGACGAAAGUCUGACCGAGCAACGCCGCGUGAGUGAAGAAGGUUUUCGGAUCGUAAAACUCUGUUGUUAGAGAAGAAUGUUGAUUAGAGUGGAAAAUUAAUCAAGUGACGGUAUCUAACCAGAAAGGGACGGCUAACUACGUGCCAGCAGCCGCGGUAAUACGUAGGUCCCGAGCGUUGUCCGGAUUUAUUGGGCGUAAAGCGAGCGCAGGUGGUUUAAUAAGUCUGAUGUAAAAGGCAGUGGCUCAACCAUUGUGUGCAUUGGAAACUGUUAGACUUGAGUGCAGUAGAGGAGAGUGGAAUUCCAUGUGUAGCGGUGAAAUGCGUAGAUAUAUGGAGGAACACCGGUGGCGAAAGCGGCUCUCUGGACUGUCACUGACACUGAGGCUCGAAAGCGUGGGUAGCAAACAGGAUUAGAUACCCUGGUAGUCCACGCCGUAAACGAUGAGUGCUAGUUGUUUGGGGCUAUCCAGCCCUAAGUGACGCAGCAAACGCAUUAAGCACUCCGCCUGGGGAGUACGACCGCAAGGUUGAAACUCAAAGGAAUUGACGGGGGCCCGCACAAGCGGUGGAGCAUGUGGUUUAAUUCGAAGCAACGCGAAGAACCUUACCAGGUCUUGACAUACUCGUGCUAUUCCUAGAGAUAGGAAGUUCCUUCGGGACACGGGAUACAGGUGGUGCAUGGUUGUCGUCAGCUCGUGUCGUGAGAUGUUGGGUUAAGUCCCGCAACGAGCGCAACCCUUAUUGUUAGUUGCCAUCAUUAAGUUGGGCACUCUAGCGAGACUGCCGGUAAUAAACCGGAGGAAGGUGGGGAUGACGUCAAAUCAUCAUGCCCCUUAUGACCUGGGCUACACACGUGCUACAAUGGUUGGUACAACGAGUCGCAAGACAGUGAUGUCAAGCUAAUCUCUUAAAGCCAAUCUCAGUUCGGAUUGUAGGCUGCAACUCGCCUACAUGAAGUCGGAAUCGCUAGUAUCGCGGAUCAGCACCGCCGCG